UACAAUUCUUGGAACAAAAUAGGUGCUUAAUAAAUGCUUGUUGAUUUGACUAUAUGGAAUGUUUAGACAGAGUCACAAUAGAGACUUGUGAAAUAAUGCUGAAGGAAUUCAUCCUUCUGUUAGUGGUUAAGGUAGAUGAACAUAAGAGUUCAUAACUAUGAAACAGUUUUUUGCUUGUUUUCUUCCUGUCUAGAGUUACACUGAUUUGCAUAGUCAUUUUCCCUCUUAUUCUAUUAUAAAAAUUUUGUUACAAGGACCAUGGUUUUUAUUCAACAUUGAAUAACUCAAAGGUGUGGGCAUGUAAGAUUGAACAUUAUAAUGGCCAAGACAAAUCACAGUGGAUAUAGUCAAAGGGACUGGCCUCUCAGAUUCUGGAAGUAUUGCCAAGAAGAAUAAACAUCUAUUGUUGGAAAGUGAGAAAACAGAGGUCAUGGUGAAAAAGCUGAAAUACAGCAGCUGAUACCUGGGAAGUGGAAAAUAAUGAAGGUAUUCUCCCAAGUUCACGUAUGACUAACUUUCUUCCAAAGUGGUGUUCAAUUAGACCAACUGAGACAAAAAUCUAAAGCACAUUUUUACAUAACAACAGGUUUCUUCAAACUGUUCCAAAUUCCUACAGAAGAUAGAGUCAAAGGUCCUAUUUUACUACUCAUUAGCACACCAUUGCUAAAACAGAGAAUUUUCACUUUCAGGAUGUUAUUCUACCUCAACUGUACAUCCAAAAGAAAAAAUUUAUUUGGAGAAAUUGUUGGAGAGGAAAUUAUGCCAUGUGCCACAGAGGAAAACAACAUCUGUCUAUACCACUGUCUAAACCUUUUUUUUUUCCCCAAGAUCACAACUGACUCCAUGCUUUCUCCUCAUUUAAAUGUGUCAUACUGUAAAAAGAUAAUAAUCUCAUCUAAAGAUUGGGAUGUAAGAGAUAAGGCUUUUUCCCUUCAUUUUCCUUAUUAAACACUUAAGAACAACAGUUCUCAAACUGGUUAGUAGACAGUACCCCAACUGUCUUUCAAGAAGUCCACUAGAUCAAAACUAUUUUCAUAUUAAUAUUAAGAUGUUGUCUAAUAAAAAUAUUCCUUUUUUCUAUCUACACAUCUGUGUGAAGCAAAAUUUUCUUCAUAUAAUUAUACCAAAACAGCACUGCAACAGAUUAAAUGAAGAAA
Molecule: long non-coding RNA, 1157 nt
Organism: Sarcophilus harrisii (Tasmanian devil)
Lineage: Eukaryota; Metazoa; Chordata; Mammalia; Dasyuromorphia; Dasyuridae
Exons: 2
Source: RefSeq, a predicted model, not a curated record